CCGGGACUUCCUCCACCGGUACMUCMUCUCCCCSACSUGUUAGGUCSAGUUGCUUUUUCCCSGUCSACAGGAGUUUACMAUCCAAAGACCUUCAUCCUCCACGCGGCGUUGCUGCGUCGGGCGUUAGCCCAUUGCGCAAAAUUCCCCMCUGCUGCCUCCCGUAGGAGUCUGGACCGUGUCUCAGUUCCAGUGUGGCCGAUCACCCUCUCAGGCCGGCUACCGAUCGUCGCCUUGGUAGGCCAUUACCCUACCAACUAGCUAAUCGGACGCGGACCCCUCCUGUGGCGAGAGCCCUUGCGAGCCCCCUUUGACCUCUCGGUAUCAUGCGGUAUCAGCCAGAGUUUCCCCUGGUUGUUCCCACCUCAGGGCAGGUUAUCCACGCGUUACUCACCCGUUCGCCGCUCGACUCGGGGUUGCCCCUGGCCUCCUCACUUGMUGUGUAAGACSCCCCGCGUUCUUCUGAGCCUGAUCAACUCUAUCAAUUCCGCGCCGCAUGCGGCGGAGMUGCACKCGGCCAUCSCCAA
This 524-nucleotide ribosomal RNA is filed under the name uncultured bacterium. RNAcentral's name for it is "partial 16S ribosomal RNA". The record is from RNAcentral.